GCCAACUAGCUGGAGGACGGAAGGGUGGCCCGCGGACUGAGGAGGGGCAGGGCAGGUGCCCAGUCCAGAGAGGAGGAGUUGAAGAUGACAAGGGGACUGGAUCCACCCUGAGGAGCCACGGGUCAACAUCCUGUUUCCGGCAAGCUCUCUGGGAGGCCACACAGAGGGGUGUUUGUUCGCAUUGGGCAGGCGAGGAGAGAUGCUAAUCGCUUGGAUGCUGGUCCCAGCUGAAGGUCAGGAGGUCAAACUCAGGACAGAGAGCUUGUUUCCCUCGGGCAGCAUGGAAGCUGGGCUGCACCUAGCCGGGAGAGGCCAGACACCCUCUGCUUGCUCCAUAACCUCCAUCGCUUCUCCUUGCUCCUGCGGCCUCCAUCUUGCUUCCAGGCCUAGAACUCGGGUUCCCCGUGCACUCCAGCCCGAGGCUGGCCAGCACUGGUUACCCAGAUGGCCCUUGCAGUGGGAAGAUGGGCUAGUGUGGAAGACUGCAGGAGAGGCAG
Long non-coding RNA from Apodemus sylvaticus (European woodmouse), 497 nucleotides. RefSeq lists it as uncharacterized. Lineage: Eukaryota; Metazoa; Chordata; Mammalia; Rodentia; Muridae. The record is from RefSeq and is a predicted model, not a curated record. The transcript is spliced from 3 exons.